UCCCCGAUAGCUCAGUUGGUAGAGCGAGCGGCUGUUAACCGCUUUGUCCGAGGUUCGAGUCCUCGUCGGGGAG
RNAcentral lists this transfer RNA (73 nucleotides) under Planctomycetia bacterium. RNAcentral's name for it is "tRNA-Asn". It matches the Rfam family "tRNA". From Rfam's summary of the family: Transfer RNA (tRNA) molecules are approximately 80 nucleotides in length. Their secondary structure includes four short double-helical elements and three loops (D, anti-codon, and T loops). The record is from RNAcentral. RNAcentral also lists the same sequence under 1 other name. Lineage: Bacteria; Pseudomonadati; Planctomycetota; Planctomycetia.